Molecule: long non-coding RNA, 291 nt
Filed under: Salvator merianae (Argentine black and white tegu)
Lineage: Eukaryota; Metazoa; Chordata; Lepidosauria; Squamata; Teiidae
Description: lncRNA (ENSSMRG00000008426.1)
Source: RNAcentral
GCAUUCCAGUCCUGGAACAGUCNCAGCUGCUUCACCUCUUGGACUGACCUUCCCUUGACUCUCAAGGAACAGACAGAUUUUGUGUUCUUGCAGUCCUAGGCCUUCCUGUGACCUGAAUGAAAACCCUCCAGCCUCUUUCCCACUAAAGCCACGCUGCAGUUCUCCAUUUAUUUUUUCAGUUUGAAAUGACAGAAGAAUCUUGAAGGGGGUAGAAAUGAGGACAGCGCCACCUGCUGAUCAUUAAAGGCUGUGUUCCCCUGGGGCAGUGACCGGAGGGUUCUUUCCUUUUAA